Chelonia mydas (Green sea turtle) is the source of this 166-nucleotide long non-coding RNA. RefSeq lists it as uncharacterized. The transcript is spliced from 3 exons. Lineage: Eukaryota; Metazoa; Chordata; Testudines; Cheloniidae. The record is from RefSeq and is a predicted model, not a curated record.
GAGAGCUGUCUGGAACCGCUUGCGCGCCUCUGCCUAGGAGCUGGACCUGCUGCUGGCCACUUCCGGAGUGCAGCGCGGUCUGCGCUGCCAGGACAGGCUGGAAGCCUGCCCCUGCAGCCCAGCUGCGCCACUGACUGGGAGCUGCUGGAGGUAAGCCUGUGCCCCA